This 207-nucleotide ribosomal RNA is filed under the name uncultured bacterium. RNAcentral describes it as "partial 16S ribosomal RNA". It matches the Rfam family "Bacterial small subunit ribosomal RNA", at positions 568 to 774 of the family's 1533-position model. The record is from RNAcentral.
UGCGUAGGUGGUAUUUCAAGUCAGAUGUGAAAACCCAGGGCUCAACCUUGGAAUUGCAUUUGAAACUGAAAAACUAGAGUUCGGGAGAGGAGAGUGGAAUUUCCGGUGUAGCGGUGAAAUGCGUAGAUAUCGGAAGGAACACCAGUGGCGAAGGCGGCUCUCUGGACCGACACUGACACUGAGGUACGAAAGCGUGGGGAGCGAACA